Molecule: ribosomal RNA, 440 nt
Filed under: Saiga tatarica
Lineage: Eukaryota; Metazoa; Chordata; Mammalia; Artiodactyla; Bovidae
Description: partial 12S ribosomal RNA
Rfam family: Bacterial small subunit ribosomal RNA
Source: RNAcentral
AAACUGGGAUUAGAUACCCCACUAUGCUUAGCCCUAAACACAAAUAGUUAUAUAAACAAAAUUAUUCGCCAGAGUACUACCGGCAACAGCCUAAAACUCAAAGGACUUGGCGGUGCUUUAUACCCUUCUAGAGGAGCCUGUUCUAUAAUCGAUAAACCCCGAUAAACCUCACCAGUCCUUGCUAAUACAGUCUAUAUACCGCCAUCUUCAGCAAACCCUAAAAAGGAAUAAAAGUAAGCACAAUUAUAAGACAUAAAAACGUUAGGUCAAGGUGUAACCUAUGGAGUGGGAAGAAAUGGGCUACAUUUUCUACCUUAAGAAAAUUCACAUACGAAAGUUACUAUGAAACUAGUGACCAAAGGAGGAUUUAGUAGUAAACUAAGAAUAGAGUGCUUAGUUGAAUUAGGCCAUGAAGCACGCACACACCGCCCGUCACCCUC